GGCCGAUGAUAGAGCACACAAUCCAGCACACAAUCCUCUCUGCAAUGUCAUGACAGCUACUGUAAGCUUCAUAGGUGGUCAUAGAUAAAAGGAAAGCCAUUAAUUAUUUUUAUCUUCAGCUGGCAGGCAUGCAUAGCUUCCGGGGUUUACAGCCAAGUCUCUAUCAGACUUGAUCUCCCGUUCUCCUGCACAUAGCAUAUGCUAAGUACUGUCCCCACUUCCUAUGGGUUGUUCUCAUCUAGCUGUUACUAGAGACAAUUUUUCCCUAACAAUGGGCACUGGACAACAGAAUGGCCAAGAUUUUAGAACAGUUUGUUUGAGGUUAGGAGUCAGUAAAUUAAAUGAUUUUUAAAUGUAUUAGGAAGCACAUCAGCUAUCAAUUAUAGUGAAUUUGUUUGAAAUGACAAUGGCAAUGAAGAAAGAUUUCAGCACUAACUUGUGAAUAAGUCAUUGUCUUUUUUCAUGUGAAUAUGCACGGCUAUAUAGGAACAUGCGCAUGCACAGGCAGUUUACAUACAGAUCUCACAUGACUGUUUUCAGCAGUCAGAGCUCAGGACAUGAGAGCCGUAUGUAAACUGUUAGCGCAUGCGCUCUAGGGACAGAGCGCAGCGCUCACGUGACAUGCAACUCAUGUCACUAGGAUGUGGAGUUGCAGAAUAUGAAUAUGCUAUCUAACUAAGGGGACGGCUGAUUGAGAAGACGGAAAGAACAGGGGCGGCCAGCCGGAGGGGCCCUGCCUCCUGCACACGACUCCCUGAAUUCAGAAGAGGAACUUCGCCAGCCAAUAUUUUUGGAACCACAGCGUCUAUUAUAUGCUCUCUCAGAGGCCGGAAGAAGCAUACAUCUACUGUGCGAAAACAUCUGUUAGGCUCUGAGCACCCGGCAUCAAUGAAGUCUCCCUGCCGGAACAGACUGUCCGCAAGAUAGAGUCUACAGGAGCGCUUUAUCAGGCACUACUUCCCCCCACUUCACUGCCAACAGCUAUUUCUUCAUCUUCAGGACAGUAUCAUA
Hyla sarda is the source of this 1011-nucleotide long non-coding RNA. RefSeq lists it as uncharacterized. The record is from RefSeq and is a predicted model, not a curated record. NCBI's taxonomy places the organism in Eukaryota, Metazoa, Chordata, Amphibia, Anura, Hylidae. The transcript is spliced from 3 exons.